This 6359-nucleotide long non-coding RNA is filed under the name Heterocephalus glaber (naked mole-rat). RNAcentral's name for it is "lncRNA (ENSHGLG00000044809.1)". The record is from RNAcentral. Lineage: Eukaryota; Metazoa; Chordata; Mammalia; Rodentia; Bathyergidae.
GUUGUGGAAUAUUGUGGUCUGCUGGUACUGCUUAUUAGUUGGUGGUGAAUGUCCUUAACCUUUAUUUCACUACUUCUUAAUACAAAGGUCUAAUUUUUUUGAUGCCUUAUAAUCUACAAACAAUGUAGAACAUGAUUUUAAAAUUUAGAAAUCCUUCAUAUGGUUACAAACAUGGGACUUCAUGGAAUUUGAAGAGUUCAUGUGUGUAGAAUAUAGCACCAUAUUCAGUUUUUAUAAAUGUAUUAAAUAUUACCAUGUGGCCUGUUAGUAUAAUAUUGCAAACAUAAGGAAUCUGGGCCAGGGCAACAAUUGGAUUGUACAGAAUGCAAAAGAAGAAUGUGAUAAGUUGAAUUAUUUGAACUACCAAAUACUCAGCAAUUUCUCAGAAUCAAUUGUAAACAUCUUCACUAAGAGCUGAAAUACAUUCCUGGGAACAUGAGUUUGACAGAAGUGUUUCUUUAUAUUUUGUACUCAAAGCCAAAGCAUCUGGCACCAAUUUCCUUAGACCUUUCUCAGUUUCAAACCUACCAUCCGACUCUCUGCAUACCUUGAGAUCUCAGUUGAAUCUUUGCCUCCAGAGUCCUGAGGACAAAAGGAUAACAAACUGGAAAGAACCGAAUAGUAAUGAUUUUGGUCCAUGAAAACCCCCAGGACUUCAGUGUAUCCAUAGCAAGGCAACUAGCAAUGGCUACAACAAAGUUGAAAUGCUUAAUUUCACAAUUUUGUAGGAAAUGCUGUGAAAGUUUUGAAAGUGUCAAGAAUAAAAAAUAUGAAUUGGAAAGAAUUUUUCCAUAAAGCUACAAUCAGUACUUUCGUUAGGAGCUCGGGCAACAUGGCUGCCCUGGAUACUGUGGAACUUGUGAGGCUAACCAGUAGAUUCCAUCACUAGAGAACGUCAUCACUUAAAUGUCUACAGCAGUGUAUCCGUUUCAUCAAGCAAGGAUUAAUAUGUAAGCAGAAUUAUUUAAUGCAGUCCCACACUGACAAACUAAGCCUGAGAAGAUGUAGUGGUUUCCAGUUUACAAAGUGCCAGAGACUGAGUUCUUAUACUGGCUAAUUCAAAGGAAGCUGGCAAACAAUUUAAAGAUGUAAUUUGCAUCCUGGCUGGUGAUAUUCUCUGACUUGCUGAGCCUCUUAUGCAGCUUGUUUGCAUUGGCUGGGCAGAUUUGCUGUUUCUAUUCUAACUGCAUUGUGUGCAGCAUGAAGAAUGCUGAUUAAUUCUUGUCGGUAACCAUCCAACACACUGCCAGUGUUUCACAUUUAUAUCCUCCAAUCCAAAAUCUGUGUAUGCAUUCCUUAAGUCAUUAGUGGGAAUAGCAUGUAAUGUGUAAAUAAACCUGCUUUUGAUUUGGAUGAAAAAUAACUGUUGAUCCUCUGCUCCCUUUAAAAUACAGGAAUUGCAUUAGAUGGGGGGAUCUUCUAUAGUCUUCGUCUGCUUCAAGUGGCUUUAAUUAGCAUUUUUUAAUUGUCCCCACAGCUGCCACUCAUGGAAAACUCAAAAUAUCACUUGUAACUGGAAGAUAAACUUGCAGUUUGUGCAUAGCAUGAAGUCAGUAGAUCUUCAUAAACUGUAGACAUUGCAACUACUCAGCAUUAUUGUUCUAGUAAUGGUACUGGAGUGUUUCUUGGACAGCCAUUUUUGAUACCUUUUGAUUAUAUGGUAGGUGAUUUUCUCAUCUUAUUACUUUAAAAGAGAAAGGUAACAAAUGAUAUCUAGGCGAGUCCCAUUUAGCAUAUUGUUCACUGUUUUGUUCAGAGAAUAAAUGUUUUUUACUAGUCCAUGUUUGCAGUGCAUCAUGUUGACACUCCUCAUGCGGAGUUGGCUGGCCCAUGUGCACAACACACCUCAGUUCCUUCUCACCCCCUUUCCCUCCUCCUCCCAUCUCUCCAUUCCCUUUUCUUUCCAAAAAGAUUUAUCUUUAGACUUCCUAUCAUCUUUUUUACUUUGUUCUUUAUUUAUAUUUUGGUUUAUCACUAUGGAAAUCAGUAUGAAGAUUACUAAAAAAAUGAAAACUUAAAUUCCACCUGACUCAGCCAUUCCCCUUCUGGACGUUUUCCUGGCAAAGUUAAAGACAUCAUAUUACAGCAAUUCAUGCACACCCAUGUUUAUAGAAGCACAAUUCAUACUAGUUAAAUCUUGCAAACAACCUAUAUGUCCACCAACAGAGUAAAUAAAUUUUUAAAUGACAGGUUGUAGUUUGAAAAGUCAUUUUAUUAGAAACCUUAAAGUAUUCUGAGAAGAAAAAGGCAUCAUUCCUUACUUUGAAGCUUAUAGUCAAGUUAUAGUUUACAGUAGAGUAUGCAGUCAGAAUUAAAACAAUAACUGACACUAUUAAAAUGAAUUUAUCCUUAUUUUCUUGACUUCAUUCCCAACUUUACCUAGCUUUUCUUGGGUUCCUAAAUGGAACUAUCAAAUCAUAUGAUUAGAUUCAUCAUAACUGACCUUUUUGCUUUCUGAAAAAGUAAGUAUCUAAGAGAAUAGAAUGGUUUAAAAUAUUUUUUGUACUGUCAGUGAAGGAGGUAGAAAUGACAACCACUCACAAUGGAUGAAACCGUAGGGGAGUUAUAUUAUUCAGGUGAUUGGGAAGACCUCAGGAAAGUCUACAGCAAGGACCCUGUUAGGUUUUCUUGUGCUGAUUAUCACUGCAGUUCCCUCAGUUGGCUGUACUCUGACCCCUUAUCCGUUUAUGUUGUGUCUUCUGGAACGUUUAAUGUUUAUUUUGCAUUGAUAGAGUUUCUUGAUUGGAAAAUUUUUGUUUCCUGAAAAGUUCAGCAGAAAACCCCACAAUGAACAUUACAGUUACAUUAUAAUUGGCCUGAAUUGGCUCCUGUGUCCACCAUUUAAACAAGUGGAAGGAAGGCUAAGGACGUUUUUGGUCAGCAUUAGCCCAGCCCUAAGAUGCAGAUAAGGAGAGGCCUCUUUUCAUUAUGUUUCUUGAGAAUGAAAAGUUUUUCAGGGAAAAUCAGGAUGUGAUUAUCGGAAACAGAAAUGGAACUAACAGUGGGAAAAAAAAUGAAUAAAAGGGGAGAAAGGAGUGAAGAACUAGCAGUGGGGAAGGAGAAGAAAGGAAAAAUAAGGAAAAGACGGGAGAGGAAGGACUGGAAGGAAGAAGGCUGCCGUUUUAUUGAAGGGUUAAUCAGCAAGGAAGCAGCAGGGCAGGGGGCAGAGGAGCUGAGCUCUUAGCUGGAAUUCUAAUAGGAUCAUUAAUUUCUGUAUAAUUGUGUGAUAAGUCCAUUUGGUUAACUUGGAAGAGCAGUUUCAUUAAUUAGCCGUGUCUAUGCGGAAACACACACAACGCACAGUCACAUAAAUACCUGCAUACCUGUGAUUGGCCCCACAAGACUUCUGAGAUAAAGAAGAUUUACAAUGAAUCUCAUAGUUUUUUCUGGGAAAAUUCGCUUAUAGUCACUUCGUGCCUCACAGAAAUGUGUGCAGGUCUUGAUUGUGCAUAAAAUAAAUGGUAGGCUUAUAUAGGAAGAGUAUUUUUUUAUAUAAGAAGGUCACAAAAUCUCAUGAUAUAAAUUAGGGCACUAACUUUACCAUGCAUUUUAUAUAGAUUCUUUUUAAAUUUUUUUAUUGAGUUUAUUGAUAUAUUUAAGUACACCUUAUUAUCACAUUCAUCAUUGAGAAUUGGUACCUGUACAUGAUGUAUCUUUAUAUAGAUUCUUUCAUUGUAUUUACUGCCUUGUGAUUGGACCUAUGCUUCACACAAUUCAGGUCAGUGUGAUUGAAGCCCAAGGUUUACUAUCUGCUCACACUGAAUGCUUUUUGUCUUGAAGUCAUAUUACUAUGUGCAUAUGUGAAAAUUCUCAUUAUUUCUGGAACUGAAAAGUCAUUUUUCCCUUUUUAUGCUAUUUUUAUAAAAUAAUAAAGUCACAUGUAAUACAAUACUUAAAUUAUUAUACCAAUAUCACUAUAAAGACAAAAAUGGAAAAAUUAAAGUGAACCAUGGCUGGUUGUGCCAGUGAGCUUAAUAUGUUUGUUCUUUGUUGAAAAAGUCAAAAUCUAAAUCCUACACAAGGGACUGCUGGUUUCCACUUAGGGAUAUGGAGAAGUAGAAUGAGUAUCAUUCUCAUCUACAAUGAAGAGAACUGGACACACAGGCAGCUCAUGACUUGGGGACACUGCAUGACAACUAACCCCCAGACUAAGCAGAGGGCCCAGGAGUGAGAAGAGACUGGAGCCCUAACUUACAAAGACAAGAUGUACCUGAAUCUGGGCUCUGAUUGAAAAGGUGGGCCACAUCCAACUUGUGAUUGGUGAUCUCAGUGGAGAGGAAUUGUGAGAAAAGACUGUAUGAAAAAGGCAGAAAUAAAACACAUGGUAACAUUAAAAAUGACCUCAGCGAGCUCCUCAGUGCUGACACAACUAAGGAAAAAAGAAUCCACAGCUCUGAUGGAUUGGUCACCUUUCCGGUUGCUGCGACAAAACACCAGACACCACAGCCUGCAGGAGGAGAGGUUACUUUAGCUCAUGGUUUCAGCAGGUGCAGUCUAUGGCCAGCUAGUUCCGAGGCAGGAAGCUCAGGAGCUUGUAGCAAAGCUGUUCAUUUCACAGCAGAGGCGGUGUGCCCAGGGCAGUAGUGACAGUGAGAGGUGAACCCUGAAGGCACAGCCCAGUGUCCACCUCCUCCAUCUGGGUCCUACAUCCUGCAGCACACUCAGUCCUGCACAUCAGUGGGUCAAGCCAUCACUGACUGGUAUCCCAGGGUCCACCCCACUCCCCAAGGGUCCCUGAGUCCAGUCAAGUUGAAGGUUUUCUGGCACAAUGAGAAUAGAUCUAUAGAAAUGACCCAAACUGAAACAAGAGGGAAAGAAGAGCAAAUCCAGUGUACAAAAGGUAUUUUGAGGUAGGAGUAUACAUGUGACAUGAGUAAGUACAGCACAUACACAUGUACAAUGGAAAGCCAUCCUUCAAUAUUUGACUGACUUGGUUCUAACUUGGAAGGAAGAUGUCAGGAGCUCCUUAGGAAAUAAACACAGUGAUUGUUUUAGCAGUUCCAGUCCCUUCUUAAUGUUGGGUCAUUCAGUCACACAUGCCUGAAUGACUUCAUUGACUGGCAGUUGUCAACUUCCGCUGAGCCAAAAGGAAGCAAGGGAAGUCUUUGACUCCCUGCUCUCUUGCAAUAGGAAUCCACCCUCAGUUUGAAAGAUUUGACAGAGUCAGCUGGGGUUCCACUGGCUUGUUUAGGUAUCAUUUCCUUGUCUUUCCCCUAUUCUCAAUAGAUUAACUUAAUUAAAAUUACCCUCAUUAAGUGUCAAAUGACAAAACCUCAACCUGAAGUGGCUGGCUGAAUGAUAUGCCUUGGUCUGUGUACACAGGCUACAGGCAUGGCUGGGCGGCAUGCAGGCCGAGGUCCAACUGUGGUCAGUUGCAUUUUCAGGCAGGUUCUCACUCUUGGUCCAACAUGGUCCCCAGCAAUUCCUGUCACACUGUGUUCCAUUGUAGCAACUGAGCAGAAAGCGUUGAACUGAUCCCAGAAUCACUGACCCAAGGAGGUGGAGUGAGUGGCUUUGUUAAUCAGGGCAGUGGAAGGGAGUGAACUCACUCCACCCCCGAAGGCUGGGGAUGUGAGAACCACCCACCUGAAUGGGGGACUGGGAGGAGAAGGGGGUGAGUCCUCAGGACCAGAAGGGCAGUGGCCGCAGAGCAAGCAAACGCUGCCUGUCUGCUACUGGGAGUGGAGCCUCAGGGCUGCAGCUCUUGAACCUCAGAAGCAGAGAGGGGGGCAGGAAAGUGUCAGCAGGGAGUAGGGCAGGAGGAUUAUUAGGCAGGGCAGCUCUCUCCUGCGGUGUUGGAAUCCUGGUCUGUUGCCCAGUGUGUGGAUAGUCAACAUGAAAAGAAUUUUUCAGUAACUAAAAGUAUGUAUUUGCUUUAUGACCAUGUGACAUAUUCGGUUCUUAUGGCCAUAGUGAUACUAUCUUCUUCUUGGUUCUCUGAUACAGAAUAAAAGACAAAGAACUUAAGAUUUUAAAUAAUUAGGCCUUUUAUAUUAAAAUGGACACACAGAUGGAUUUAAAUAUGUAUGCAUAAAAAUGAAACCCCUGAAAUAGGUAAUGCUGAGAAAGAAUCAUUUGUAACAUCCUAAAUUAGUGUUCUAUUUAUAGUUGAAUAGCAAGAGAUAAGCUUUGGUAUUAAAAUAGGCAGAGGUUUAUUACAGACGCUGAUGUGGAAAGUUUGAUCUAGGGAUCUGCUGUGAAAUCUGAGCGUAAUAUUUAUUUUUGUUUGAUUGGUUUUUAAAUAUUUAUUUUUAAUUUAUUGUUUUGACUCCUCACAUAAAUAAAUGCUUGUAGAAAAUUUACACUUUAUGACAAUGAAUGCUUUUAAUCUAAAUGGUACAUCUUAUUUUAAAUAAAUG